Molecule: ribosomal RNA, 253 nt
Filed under: uncultured bacterium
Lineage: Bacteria
Description: partial 16S ribosomal RNA
Rfam family: Bacterial small subunit ribosomal RNA
Source: RNAcentral
UACGUAGGUCCCAAGCGUUAUCCGGAAUUACUGGGCGUAAAGCGUCUGUAGGCGGAUAUAUAAGUGAGAUAUAAAAUACCGAAGCUCAACUUCGUGUAAGUGUCUCAAACUGUAUAUCUAGAACAAGAGAGAGGAAAGCGGAAUUCUCGGAGUAGGGGUGCAAUCCGUAGACACCGAGAAGAACACCAAAAGCGAAGGCAGCUUUCUGGAACUUUGUUGACGCUGAGAGACGAAAGCGUGGGUAGCGAAAAGG